AACGGUACCGUCAUCCCUGAAAGCUGUUCACAAUCAGGUCUUCGUCCCGUUCGACAGAGCUUUACACCCCGAAAGGCGUCGUCACUCACGCGGCGUUGCUGCGUCAGGCUUUCGCCCAUUGCGCAAAAUUCCC
This 133-nucleotide ribosomal RNA is filed under the name uncultured bacterium. RNAcentral's name for it is "partial 16S ribosomal RNA". The record is from RNAcentral.